GUGCUCGCUUCAGCAACACAUACACUAAAAUUGGAACAAUACAGAGAUUAGCAUGGCCCCUGUGCAAGGAUAACACACAGAUUUGUGAAGUGUUCCACAUUAAA
This 104-nucleotide small nuclear RNA is filed under the name Vulpes vulpes (red fox). Lineage: Eukaryota; Metazoa; Chordata; Mammalia; Carnivora; Canidae. The record is from RNAcentral.